RNAcentral lists this ribosomal RNA (267 nucleotides) under Salmonella enterica. RNAcentral describes it as "partial 23S ribosomal RNA". It matches the Rfam family "Bacterial large subunit ribosomal RNA", at positions 2068 to 2334 of the family's 2925-position model. Lineage: Bacteria; Pseudomonadati; Pseudomonadota; Gammaproteobacteria; Enterobacterales; Enterobacteriaceae. The record is from RNAcentral.
ACCCGCGGCAAGACGGAAAGACCCCGUGAACCUUUACUAUAGCUUGACACUGAACAUUGAGCCUUGAUGUGUAGGAUAGGUGGGAGGCUUUGAAGUGUGGACGCCAGUCUGCAUGGAGCCGACCUUGAAAUACCACCCUUUAAUGUUUGAUGUUCUAACGUGGACCCGUUACCCGGGUUGCGGACAGUGUCUGGUGGGUAGUUUGACUGGGGCGGUCUCCUCCUAAAGAGUAACGGAGGAGCACGAAGGUUGGCUAAUCCUGGUCGG